GCAGGGUUAGCUCAUCCGGUAGAGCGACUGAGGCGGCGGGUUCGAGUCCCGUAUCCUGCUCCAGAAAAUAGCGAGGCGGCGGGUUCGAGUCCCGUAUCCUGCUCCA
RNAcentral lists this transfer RNA (106 nucleotides) under Faecalibacterium prausnitzii. Its description in RNAcentral is "tRNA-Ser". The stretch from base 1 to 60 matches the Rfam family "tRNA". From Rfam's summary of the family: Transfer RNA (tRNA) molecules are approximately 80 nucleotides in length. Their secondary structure includes four short double-helical elements and three loops (D, anti-codon, and T loops). The record is from RNAcentral. Lineage: Bacteria; Bacillati; Bacillota; Clostridia; Eubacteriales; Oscillospiraceae.